AAUAAUUUUAUAUGAAGUGUCUGGACUUACAUUUAAAUUUUUAUCAUUGGUGUUGCCAAUGGGUCUAUUAACUAUGAAGCGUUAUAGAGUCUAGCACUUAAGUUUUGCAGGUUUAUGAGAAAUAUUUACCAUUUUAAAAAAUAUCAUCAUAAAAGAAGUCAUCAGUGCUUUAGCACAACUAAAUAUAUAAUUCUGCCUAGUAGUCAUGGUAUUUUCACAAUAGAGAAAAUUCACUCUCUAAAAAAGAGAAACAUUUAGUUUUUAAAAAAAGGAGGGAAAUGCUUUCAAAAUUUGAGUACAACUUUUGUUACACAGUAAUGUAUCUAAUCAGUUUCUUUUUCUGCACUAAAGAUAAGGGAAAUGGAUUCAAAAGAAGCAGAAAUUGAUGAUGGCAUUCUAAACUCAUAUCAGUAUCUUGUUUCUUGAGCUAUUUCAUCAAUAUCUGAAAAAUAAGAUUUCCCCUGAGAUUCACACAAUGUGUCUCCUUUUGCAUGUUUGUUUAUUUUCUUAUGUGGCAAACUGUUUCAAAUGCAAUUAAUUUUCUUUCAUUUGGUACUAUGAAGAUGAGGGCAUCUUAAAGGAGUUCCCAAGAUUCAGGAGGAAACAGGAGAAGUCUUGAGGAGCGUUUAUUACCACGCCCCAGGAGAGAUACUCUUGCUCUGGAAGAAAACACAUUGAAUUGAUGAUCAUGGUUAACCUUUGGAGAGAGAGAGGAGACCAGGAUGAAGGAGCCAGUCCAAGCUGGACCUCCCGUCUGUAACCUGCACCUGCAGUUCACAGGAUUCAGCUCGGAGAGCUCUGUACUUCCAGGCCACUCAGAUGGGGCCUUGUUCUGUCACGGAGGCGGGAGUAGAGUGGCACGAGCACGGCUCACUGCAGCCUUGACCUUUGGGCUCAAGCAAUCCUUACACCUCAGGACCCCACACUCAGCCCCCCG
Macaca mulatta (Rhesus monkey) is the source of this 937-nucleotide non-coding RNA. The record is from RefSeq and is a predicted model, not a curated record. NCBI's taxonomy places the organism in Eukaryota, Metazoa, Chordata, Mammalia, Primates, Cercopithecidae.